This 24-nucleotide non-coding RNA is filed under the name Gossypium hirsutum (cotton). Lineage: Eukaryota; Viridiplantae; Streptophyta; Magnoliopsida; Malvales; Malvaceae. The record is from RNAcentral.
AAAUCGUGCCCUAACGUAUUGAGU